AAAAGCCCUGGGACGAACGCGGCGUUAAUAAGUAGGAGGCGAGGGUGAGUCGGAAUGUGUGGGCGUAAAGCGAGUGUAUGUGGCUCAGUAAGUCACAUGUGUAAGCCCCGGGCUUAACCUGGGAACUGCAUGUGAUACUGGUGGGGCUAGAAUAUGUGAGAGGGAAGUAGAAUUCCAGGGUUAGCGAUUAAAUGCGUAGAUAUCUGGAGGAAUACCGAUGGCGAAGGCAGCUUCCUGGCAUAAUAUUGACACGGAGAUUCGAAAGCGUGGGUAGCAAACAGGAUUAGAUACCCUGGUAGUC
Molecule: ribosomal RNA, 301 nt
Filed under: uncultured Brevundimonas sp.
Lineage: Bacteria; Pseudomonadati; Pseudomonadota; Alphaproteobacteria; Caulobacterales; Caulobacteraceae
Description: bacterial SSU rRNA
Rfam family: Bacterial small subunit ribosomal RNA
Source: RNAcentral